RNAcentral lists this ribosomal RNA (254 nucleotides) under uncultured bacterium. RNAcentral describes it as "partial 16S ribosomal RNA". It matches the Rfam family "Bacterial small subunit ribosomal RNA", at positions 524 to 776 of the family's 1533-position model. The record is from RNAcentral.
UACAGAGGGUGCAAGCGUUGUUCGGAUUGACUGGGCGUAAAGGGCGUGUAGGUGGUUGGGUAAGUCCGUUGUGAAAUCAACAUCGCUUAACGAGUUGUCCGCAUCGGAAACUGCUUAACUUGAGUAUUGGAGAGGAUAACGGAAUUCCUGGUGUAGCGGUGGAAUGUGUAGAGAUCAGGAGGAACACCUGUGGCGAAGGCGGUUAUCUGGCCAAAUACUGACACUGAGGCGCGAAAGCUAGGGGAGCAAACGGG